CGCGCAUGCGCUGCAUUGCGUUGUUCGGCUACUGGGAAAGUGAGCAGGGCUGUUCCCAGAGCUGACUGGCUGGCGUGGGAAGCACCGCAGGGUUAAGCUCGCCUCUGGAUGUGGGCCGUCCGUACUGCACCUUUUCAGAAGCGCAGCCGCCCUGGAUCUACCCAGCCGCAGUGACUCCAUUCCGAGUGCAAAUGUGGAUUGCUGAAGACAGUUACUGGAAGCGCCAUUUGCAGGUAGAGAUUGCAGUCAUUAUUAAAUGAGCCAGAAGGUAGAAACUUUUUUAUUUUGUGGAGGGGACUUGACUGGGCAAUACUAGGAGGAGAUGAAAUGAUUAGGGAACAAUGAUAUAAGAAAACGAUCACUGCCCUUAUUUGGGUUAAACAGGUCAUGUCGAGAAGAUAGUUAUUUAAGAUAAGGGUGCUACUUAUGUGCAGCAUGAAUAUGUUACAAUCAAGCUGCACCCAACUAAGAAAAGAAAAAUUCCCCAAGUAACUUUUAAAAGUAUGUGUUAUUUGCCAGUCACAGAAGGGAAAAGCACCUAAGGGUGGACUCCAAUUUAAUGAGGACCUUGAUCAGGACCACAAAGCCUGAAACGUAUGUUUUAAUGCAGAAACACAGCCUCUAGUCACACUGGUUAAGUUUGGGAAAAUCAGAGGUUUUUUUUUUUGUUUUCCCUGUUUGUUUUUUAACUUUUUUAUUGAAUUAUAAGAUAUGGUUUCAAUCACUAAGGAUGCUAAAUCUUCAAACCAGCAUUGGAAUUGAACCACUUCCAAAUCCUAAGACACAUAAAACCAAAGAGAAGCAAUAGCCAUACAAAUUAUAUGUGCCCCUCUCCUUUCUGCUAUAAGGGAAUCUUCAAACCAGCAUCACAUUUAAGAGUCAAAGUGUUAAUUCUUCAGCAUUCCUGACAACUAGAAAGCACAUUCACUGAAGGCUGAAGGUGAGGGAGCAGAUGGUUUAACUUUAAUAUCUGUGGAGAAUGGCGCCAAUAGAGGAAAGAAAACCAUCCAAUUUCAGUAAGGAUUAAUGCAAACUUGGCUAGAAAAAGCCACCAGGUAAUCCAAGGGUUCACUGUGGAAGAACUCAUGAAAAGUACUCUGAAGUACACAACAGGUCUAAACAUCUCCCUUGUUGCAAGUAGUUGUGUGAAAUUCAAGAUAAAGUUUUAGUUUCAUCUUUUAAUGUCAGUAUUUUUUUCCCCACAUUAAAGGGAAUGAGGAGGAGUCCUCUUUUUCCCCCACAAAAAAAGGGAGCCACAUUUUAAUAUGUGUACAUUCCCAUGACUCUUUAUAAUAUUUAAGUGCGGAUCUCCAAAGCUUAAGGAUUUUCCAUAAGAGAGUGGGCCGUUCUGGUCACCCUUUUAUUAGAAGGGUAUUCCACCACAGAGAGCCAGAGGUUUUCCAGAUGUGUGUAAGAGAGCAGGUGCGCAAGGCAAGCAAAUGAGCGCAAACAGUAUUAUGGAAAACAUUUGAGAAGUUAGCUCCAUGAGGACUGUGGGCUCCACAAGAGGACUUGACUGGGUAGCCUGGUCUGACACAGGAACAUGAAAGCAGAGUAUUGCUUCAAAGCUGGAACCCUUCCAUAGGCGCCUCACACUGCUGGAAGAUGUACUGCUGCUGGCUAAGGUCAACCUGAGGUGCAAUGCUGCUGUCCUCAUCCUCGGUCCCGAAGUAAUGCUCAAUAAGAUCAAAGGCCUUCUGGUAGAUCUCCUGGUUUUCAUGACUCUGUAAGAAUUCAAUUUUAUCCAGACCUAGAAUGAAAAAUAAAAAAAAAAUCUGUUGUACAUCUGUGGAAAUUCUAAUAAAACUGUAUUUUUCCAUAUGUCUCUUUCCUGAUGUAAAGGAAGAUGCUAUUCUCUACUUACUCUCAUUAGCAUUUUGCAACAGCAUAGAAAAUACUGCUGGGAUUACAUCUAAAUAUUUGUAUUGAAAACUGACAUCUUAAACAUAUAUGUGCAAGCAAAAGCCAGUCCCAAGAAGCAGCAAUAUCUCUAAUAGUCAGACAUUAUCCAGUGCCUAGGGCCAAGAGCAUAGGUUUUCCUACUGGACUGUGUCUGUCUUAAUUUAUUCUUGGCUCUGAGCGACCUAGUAUUUCAACAAAUGUUUAAUAUACUUAAAUCAAUCAGCCAGAAUCAAUUUCUACUACUUAAAUUAAGAAGUUCAAUAGAAAAGUUACCCAACACACAUUCCCUUUAAGUUUAAGCUCAUUUGAGCUAGGCUUGCUUUCACCUACGGCCAUAAGCAACCUAAGUACUACAACGAUACCAGAAAAAAAUGUUAACACUGCUCAAAA
Non-coding RNA from Sus scrofa (pig), 2292 nucleotides. The record is from RefSeq and is a predicted model, not a curated record. NCBI's taxonomy places the organism in Eukaryota, Metazoa, Chordata, Mammalia, Artiodactyla, Suidae.